GUGCGAAACGGCCCUGCGGGGCCGUCGCCGGAUGAUUUCCGGCCUGACGAGCACAAGCAA
RNAcentral lists this non-coding RNA (60 nucleotides) under Bilophila wadsworthia. The record is from RNAcentral. Lineage: Bacteria; Pseudomonadati; Thermodesulfobacteriota; Desulfovibrionia; Desulfovibrionales; Desulfovibrionaceae.